RNAcentral lists this ribosomal RNA (253 nucleotides) under uncultured bacterium. RNAcentral's name for it is "partial 16S ribosomal RNA". It matches the Rfam family "Bacterial small subunit ribosomal RNA", at positions 524 to 776 of the family's 1533-position model. The record is from RNAcentral.
UACGGAGGGGGCGAGCGUUAUUCGGAAUUAUUGGGCGUAAAGGGCGCGUAGGCGGCUUGGUAAGUCAAAGGUGAAAUCCCUCGGCUCAACUGAGGAAUUGCCUUUGAAACUGCCUGGCUCGAGGCCGGGAGAGGGUAGCGGAAUUCCCAGUGUAGCGGUGAAAUGCGUAGAUAUUGGGAGGAACACCGGUGGCGAAGGCGGCUACCUGGACCGGUUCUGACGCUGAUGCGCGAAAGCGUGGGGAGCAAACAGG